RNAcentral lists this small RNA (572 nucleotides) under Pongo abelii (Sumatran orangutan). Its description in RNAcentral is "retained intron". The record is from RNAcentral. Lineage: Eukaryota; Metazoa; Chordata; Mammalia; Primates; Hominidae.
UGUAGUAGACGAAUCAGAUAAACUGUUUGAAGAUGGCAAAACUGGGUUCAGAGACCAGCUGGCUUCCAUUUUCCUGGCCUGCACAUCCCACAAGGUCCGAAGAGCUAUGUUCAGUGCAACUUUUGCAUAUGAUGUUGAACAGUGGUGCAAACUCAACCUGGACAAUGUCAUCAGUGUGUCCAUUGGAGCAAGGAAUUCUGCAGUAGAAACUGUAGAACAAGAGCUUCUCUUUGUUGGAUCUGAGACUGGAAAACUUCUGGCCAUGAGAGAACUUGUUAAAAAGGUAUAUUUGUAUUACCUUCUUGAAUUUUGGUAAAGUUUGCCAAGUCUUAUAUUACUGGUGGGAGGCUAUUACAGUGGUAGCACUGUAUCAUCAUCAUCUUGCCUCAUAUUCAGUAAUCCACUGGUAAAUUGAUAAGCAAGUACAUUGUGCUAACUAUAUGAUCAUCCUGCAUCGUAUUUAGUAAUCUAGGAGUAAAUUGUUAAGAAGCACGUUGUCCUAACUCUUAUCCCAAGGGACAGAAGCUUGCCUCUCAGAAUAUGGUAAGUUGUCUUUUCGCAGCUCAGAUUAG